RNAcentral lists this ribosomal RNA (468 nucleotides) under uncultured bacterium. RNAcentral's name for it is "partial 16S ribosomal RNA". It matches the Rfam family "Bacterial small subunit ribosomal RNA", at positions 28 to 507 of the family's 1533-position model. The record is from RNAcentral.
GACGAACGCUGGCGGCGUGCUUAACACAUGCAAGUCGAACGGAAAGGCCCUGCUUUUGUGGGGUGCUCGAGUGGCGAACGGGUGAGUAACACGUGAGUAACCUGCCCUUGACUUUGGGAUAACUUCAGGAAACUGGGGCUAAUACCGGAUAGGAGCUCCUGCUGCAUGGUGGGGGUUGGAAAGUUUCGGCGGUUGGGGAUGGACUCGCGGCCUAUCAGCUUGUUGGUGGGGUAGUGGCUUACCAAGGCUUUGACGGGUAGCCGGCCUGAGAGGGUGACCGGCCACAUGGGGACUGAGAUACGGCCCAGACUCCUACGGGAGGCAGCAGUGGGGAAUAGUGCACAAUGGGCGGAAGCCUGAUGCAGCAACGCCGCGUGCGGGAUGACGGCCUUCGGGUUGUAAACCGCUUUCGCCUGUGACGAAGCGUGAGUGACGGUAAUGGGUAAAGAAGCACCGGCUAACUACGUG